Molecule: ribosomal RNA, 435 nt
Filed under: uncultured bacterium
Lineage: Bacteria
Description: partial 16S ribosomal RNA
Rfam family: Bacterial small subunit ribosomal RNA
Source: RNAcentral
GAUGAACGCUGGCGGUAUGCUUAACACAUGCAAGUCGAACGGACUCUUCGGAGUUAGUGGCGGACGGGUGAGUAACGCGUGAGAAUCUGGCUUUGGGUUCGGGACAACCACUGGAAACGGUGGCUAAUACCGGAUGUGCCGAGAGGUAAAAGAGAAAUUGCCUGAAGAUGAGCUCGCGUCUGAUUAGCUAGUUGGUGAGGUAAAGGCUCACCAAGGCAGCGAUCAGUAGCUGGUCUGAGAGGAUGACCAGCCACACUGGGACUGAGACACGGCCCAGACUCCUACGGGAGGCAGCAGUGGGGAAUUUUCCGCAAUGGGCGAAAGCCUGACGGAGCAAUACCGCGUGAGGGAGGAAGGCUCUUGGGUUGUAAACCUCUUUUCUUAGGGAAGAACAAAAUGACGGUACCUAAGGAAUCAGCAUCGGCUAACUCCGUG